UGUAGUGACUACAAAGCCUCAAACAUUGGAAUAUGGUUUGGAUCACCACCCAGAGGUUGAUGCAAGUUCUCUUCAUUCAGAUAAUACAUCUCCAGUAUGUGAACUGCAAGGAAGAAGUAGACCAAAUUCCUCAUUCAGCUUCUGCAGUUGAAGGCAACAACUUUAAUAUGACAUGUGAAUAUAGCACAGCUUUCCUCAGCCUCCAGUGGUACAAACAGGUGCCUGGGGAGAAGUUUCAGCUUCUGAGAAUCCAAAGGGUAGACGAGGAGAUCACAGAGGACAGAUUUGUAUUUCAGCUGCAGAAAGAGAAGAAGCUCAGCACCCUGUCUAUCAAGCAGAUGGAAGUGUCAGACUCAGCCACCUAUUGGUGUGCUCUGGAGGCACAGUGUUAGAAAGCAGCUCCUCGCUGAACGAAAACCUGAUGACUAACCAAGAACUAAAAUGACCAUCUUUAUACUGUACUGUAUGUAUGUGCUGGGCAUUGCUAAGGUACUGGUGGCCCCAGGGGAAAGAUCCUAUUGUUGGACCCUAUAGCCACACCAAAAUAUUUGUGACAGUAUCACCCGUAAGAAGGUACACUCAAAUAUAAUAGGGCCUAUGAUGAUGAUUUAUGGGCAAAUGUUUUUUUAACUUUUUGUCUAGUAUGUCGCAGCUUUCUGAUUGCUGCCUUACCAGCGACCUCUUUAACACGCACAUUUCUAAUUGCAAUUGCUUCAUAUACAGUGAAACCUCAAAUGUACAUCUCCUGAUUUUAAACUUGCCUUCAUUUUGGAAAAUUGUGUUCCCACCAACGUAUAAUGCAUAAUACAUUUCACUGAUUUUUACAUUUUCCCAAUUUUACACCAUUUUUUUGUUCUUCUGAAAAACAUGAAAUGGGGGUUGUACUGUAUUACAGUUAUUAUAAUUUGAUCCAUGCAUAUAAAGACUUGUAUGUUCAUUUUUUUUGAGUUAAGACUGAAUUAACUCUGUAAUGUUGUAGCUGUGUGCUUUCAUUUGUCAUUUGGUGCCAGUGCCUCUAUGAAGGUGAGCUGCACUGCACUGCUUUUCAAGGUAUAGUAUAGAAGAUAGUUAUUAAAACAAAUAGAUGAUGUGGGAGCCUGGUGGUAAAGUCUGCCUGACCUGAGCAACCAGGAGAUUUACCUACACCACUGAAAACACAACUCAGAAAUAUCCUAUUGAGCUUAUUGCUGGAAAGGAGUAUGAUCUACAUGGAACACCCUGAGUAUCGGUACUAAUUGGAACAUACAAUGAAGUGUCUCAGGAAAAGUAGAGUAUUGUAUGUCACACAGGUACCAUAUGAUGUCUCAGGCCUGUAUAGAUCAAUUCCUACCAAAGGCUAUUUUUCCUUCAUGUUUCAAUUUAAGUAUCACUUUAAUCUGCACUAGGUAAUUGUUAUCACAGUGUGUUACAAUGUUUAUGAUAUGGCUACAUUUUGGAGACAUUCUGCAGUCAUUCUGUGCCAUAUCUACAGACCUUCAACAACUUUGAAUUUUGAUUGUUAUGAACUAUGGGCUAAGGAAAACUCUUUGAACUUUAACCCUGGGGGCGGGAUGAGAGGCGGGACUGUACCUCUCACCAAUAGGCUUGAUAAAGGGCCCAGCAGAGGCCCGAAACGUUGUCGCUGAUCACCGAAUCAAUUGCAUCAGCUGUGCCACAGGUCUCUUGUUUUGCUAUAUACAGUUUUUGGGCUUUGGGCAGCAUUGGGCCCGAUACCUGACGGCACCUGACACCAAUCCGGUGUUUCAGGCCUGGAGCAGCACUCCAUUGUUGGGAUUUAUUACUGGAAAGCAGACAUACAGAAUAAACUACUAAAUAUGACAUACCACAAGUACAAAUCUCUCCACUAAAGAUUCAGCUUUCUUUGAUAAUUAAUAUUGUCUUUGAUCCUUGCAGG
Non-coding RNA from Xenopus laevis (African clawed frog), 1894 nucleotides. The record is from the annotation of a RefSeq genome assembly. Lineage: Eukaryota; Metazoa; Chordata; Amphibia; Anura; Pipidae.